RNAcentral lists this small RNA (767 nucleotides) under Drosophila yakuba. Its description in RNAcentral is "GE28182". The record is from RNAcentral. Lineage: Eukaryota; Metazoa; Arthropoda; Insecta; Diptera; Drosophilidae.
UAGGUGUUCUAAGCUUUUUUUGGGUCUAGCUACUUUUCAAUGGCAGCAGGACUGUUUGCCAUGUGGCGACGAAGCCCCACAGCCAGAGCCAGUGCUCCCCCGCUUCCCGCUCCCGCACCCAGCCACUGGCGGUUCGCUCGCGAACAUGACUAAGCCAAACAACUUGACAACACUGUCGGGGAAUUGUUGCUGUCUUUGAGUCAAUUCAUAAGAAACGAGGAAACCCGCCGCCAUAUCGUUGUUGCUGCCGUAUUUAUUUAUCCAUUAAAAAUCCAUCUACGAUAAGGACAGCGAAUUGGCCAAAGAGCUUGGCAACAACAAUGGUAUCAGAACCACCAAAAGUCCCCCGAAGUCUGAAACUUUCUGUGCCAAAUCGAACGGAAGCGAUUCGAUAAGAACUAUCUCACACAACCCCUCUCAAUAUGGAAAAUCCAUCAUACGAAUAGUUUUCGAUGUGUGCUCAGAUGUACAUUUAUUUGGACAGUUGACGUACGAUAACGCUCAGCACUUGGUCGCCGAUGAUAUCACGAAGAAAGGUAAACAAUCUAAUCAAUAAACACAAUCAAGCGAGGACGAGUGGAACGCACUCAUCUAUUAGAGCAACACCUAUGUACAUACAUACAUACAUACAUAGGUAUACACGUAGACAAGUCUGCAUACGCCUAGAAAUGUACACGGAAAGAAAUUGGUCAUUGUCAUAUGAAGCUUGAGCUCAUCUUGUGACAUCAGAAUUAUAUUUUGAAACAUCACGAAAUGGUUUUCCUAUC